Notolabrus celidotus (New Zealand spotty) is the source of this 579-nucleotide long non-coding RNA. RefSeq lists it as uncharacterized. The record is from RefSeq and is a predicted model, not a curated record. The transcript is spliced from 4 exons. Lineage: Eukaryota; Metazoa; Chordata; Actinopteri; Labriformes; Labridae.
AGGACGCCUACAGAUAUAAUCACCAAACACUCAACCACAGAGAGACUCACAAACCUUUGGAGAACCAGUACAGCUUUUAAAACUUCAGCCAACAAAACAAAAAAAACUAGAACUCACCGAAGAAGCUUGGGCAUGCCGCUUACCGCCAUGCCGUCCAGUGUACUCCAGCAGACUGGCGUGCAGGUAUGACAUCCUUCACUGGAAACCUUCUGGAGACUAAAGAGGAAAGUCACAGGCAAAAAGAAUGGUGUUAUAGUCUCUCCUGGUGAUAUAGUUGCAUAUUACCCAUGAUGCAUGACGUGAUGCUCCCAUCUGCGUUACUUGGUGCCACAGAGUAACGUCGACUAAUACAAAGUUGCAAGUCUCAACAGUGUUCGAUAAACGAGGAGAGUCUGAGUGGAAAGAGGCUCUGAAAGGGAACCAAUAAACUGGUGGUGUGCAAGGUUUUAUAACUUCACUGCUCUGCUGAGAUAGGGAAGUCUGGCUUCUGACUGGACCAAAACAAAGAUGGCCGCCUCUAUCUAACCUAGCCAGUUGCCAUCAGAAAUUAUACUAUUUCACUAAAAUUAAAACAGAAAU